This 406-nucleotide ribosomal RNA is filed under the name uncultured bacterium. RNAcentral's name for it is "partial 16S ribosomal RNA". It matches the Rfam family "Bacterial small subunit ribosomal RNA", at positions 30 to 526 of the family's 1533-position model. The record is from RNAcentral.
AUUGAACGCUGGCGGCAGGCCUAACACAUGCAAGUCGAACGAGUGGCGGACGGGUGAGUAAUGUCUGGGAACCUGCCUGAUGGGGGGGGAUAACUACUGGAAACGGUAGCUAAUACCGCAUCCCAUCGGCUGUGCCCAGAUGGGCUUAGCUAGUAGGUGGGGUAACGGCUCACCUAGGCGACGAUCCCUAGCUGGUCUGAGAGGAGGACCAGCCACACUGGAACUGAGACACGGUCCAGACUCCUACGAGAGGCAGCAGUGGGGAAUAUUGAACAAUGGGCGCAAGCCUGAUGCAGCCAUGCCGCGUGUAUGACGAAGGCCUUAGGGGUGUAAAGUACUUUCAGUGGGGAGGCGUUACCCGCAGAAGAAGCACCGGCAAACUCCGUGCCAGCAGCCGCGGUAAGUC